UUGUACAAGUAAUGAUUAAAGCUCUUGUUCACAGAUGGAGCCAGAUGCAACUCCGAUGGUGAAGAAGAAAUGAUUCCUCGAGUCUUCUGGUUUCCUGAUAGUGUCCGGUUGUUAGCGACCGUCGUUGCUACCGCGGCGUCGUGGUUUUAGCAAUAGUGUGUCAUUAGUGUAAAGUGUAAAAAAGUAGCUCAUGUAAAAGUGUUUCAAACACGACGGUUUCGGCGAUGCUUGACAAGGGGAAGAUGCAUGGUGCCUGACGACCGUCAAGAUGUGGACUUCGAACGAUACGUCUAGUCGAAGAUUCCCGCGCGAAUUCUGCUCAGAUCGACGAGGGAAUAGCUUAAAGUGGAAGAUGAUAGCGACGCACGGUGCUAAAAUUGAUUGACUGGGUUAAUUACUUUGCCGAAUCGAGGUCUCCUCUCAAGUACAACUCUAUUUGCGUAUUUGAGUUAGCGAAGAGGCUGCAGUAUGCUGUCGUCGCUCGUGGCAAAUUCAUUGGGAGUUCGAGCAAAUUCGAGGCGUCGUUCG
Bombus terrestris (buff-tailed bumblebee) is the source of this 528-nucleotide long non-coding RNA. RefSeq lists it as uncharacterized. The record is from RefSeq and is a predicted model, not a curated record. The transcript is spliced from 3 exons. Lineage: Eukaryota; Metazoa; Arthropoda; Insecta; Hymenoptera; Apidae.